GGAGAGGUGUCCGAGUGGUUUAAGGUGCCGCUCUCGAAAAGCGGUAGGCAGAAAUGCCUCGUGGGUUCGAAUCCCACCCUCUCCGCCA
Molecule: transfer RNA, 88 nt
Filed under: Dehalococcoidia bacterium
Lineage: Bacteria; Bacillati; Chloroflexota; Dehalococcoidia
Description: tRNA-Ser
Rfam family: tRNA
About the family: Transfer RNA (tRNA) molecules are approximately 80 nucleotides in length. Their secondary structure includes four short double-helical elements and three loops (D, anti-codon, and T loops).
Source: RNAcentral